RNAcentral lists this long non-coding RNA (346 nucleotides) under Setaria viridis. RNAcentral's name for it is "long non-coding RNA (SVIR_LNC010216)". The record is from RNAcentral. Lineage: Eukaryota; Viridiplantae; Streptophyta; Magnoliopsida; Poales; Poaceae.
UGACUGAUGAGGUUAUUUGAGGCCAUUAGUAUGUGAAGUGCAAUUGUUAUAUUUGUGAGUCUAUCAUUUGCAAGCGAUAGGAAGGAGAGAGGUUUAUAAUUGUUUAGUACCUUUGAUAACUGACCAUGUAACUGAUUGGAAUAUAGCCUUACUGAUCGUGCUAGUUAUUGGCUAAUUUGUUUAUUAGGUUCAAUUUGUGAUCAGCCCCACGAUAGUAACUGUGGGAGUUGAUUCUCAGAGCCCAACUAAUAUUGUUUAGUGUUUGGUGAGGUUCACAAUUCAAUGCUGUGAUACUUUUAGUCACUAGAUGUCUGAAAAAUAUCUAGGUUGUAUGCUUGUGUUUUCA